This 546-nucleotide ribosomal RNA is filed under the name Proteus mirabilis. Its description in RNAcentral is "partial 23S ribosomal RNA". It matches the Rfam family "Bacterial large subunit ribosomal RNA", at positions 2253 to 2798 of the family's 2925-position model. The record is from RNAcentral. Lineage: Bacteria; Pseudomonadati; Pseudomonadota; Gammaproteobacteria; Enterobacterales; Morganellaceae.
CGUGUCUGGUGGGUAGUUUGACUGGGGCGGUCUCCUCCUAAAGAGUAACGGAGGAGCACGAAGGUUGGCUAAGCAUGGUCGGACAUCAUGCGGUUAGUGCAAAGGCAUAAGCCAGCUUGACUGCGAGAGUGACGGCUCGAGCAGGUACGAAAGUAGGUCUUAGUGAUCCGGUGGUUCUGAAUGGAAGGGCCAUCGCUCAACGGAUAAAAGGUACUCCGGGGAUAACAGGCUGAUACCGCCCAAGAGUUCAUAUCGACGGCGGUGUUUGGCACCUCGAUGUCGGCUCAUCACAUCCUGGGGCUGAAGUAGGUCCCAAGGGUAUGGCUGUUCGCCAUUUAAAGUGGUACGCGAGCUGGGUUUAGAACGUCGUGAGACAGUUCGGUCCCUAUCUGCCGUGGGCGUUGGAAGAUUGAGAGGGGUUGCUCCUAGUACGAGAGGACCGGAGUGAACGCACCACUGGUGUUCGGGUUGUCAUGCCAAUGGCAUUGCCCGGUAGCUAAGUGCGGAAGAGAUAACCGCUGAAAGCAUCUAAGCGGGAAACUUGCC